Molecule: ribosomal RNA, 466 nt
Filed under: uncultured bacterium
Lineage: Bacteria
Description: partial 16S ribosomal RNA
Rfam family: Bacterial small subunit ribosomal RNA
Source: RNAcentral
AUUGAACGCUGGCGGCGCGCCUAACACAUGCAAGUCGAACGAGCGAGCGAGAGCUUUCUUUCUCUAGCGAGUGGCGCACGGGUGAGUAACGCGUGAGGAACCUGCCUCAAAGAGGGGGACAACACUUGGAAACGACUGCUAAUACCGCAUAUGCCCACUUCUCGCCCUCGAGCAGGUGGAAAAGGAGCAAUCCGCUUUCAGAUGGCCUUGCGUCCGAUUAGCUAGUUGGUGGGGUAACGGUCCACCAAUGCGACGAUCGCUAGCCGGACUGAGAGGUUGAACGGACACAUUGGGAGUGGGACACGGUCCAGAAUCCUACGGGAGGGAGGAGUGGGGAAUAGUGCAAAAUGGGGGAAACGAUGAUGCAGCGACGACGCGAGGAGGAAGAAGGUCUUCGGAUUGUAAACUGCUGUUGUUGGGGAAGAUAAUGACGGUACCCAACAAGAAAGUGACGGCUAACUACGUG